Molecule: ribosomal RNA, 459 nt
Filed under: uncultured bacterium
Lineage: Bacteria
Description: partial 16S ribosomal RNA
Rfam family: Bacterial small subunit ribosomal RNA
Source: RNAcentral
CUAUGGGUGGCUGCAGUGAGGAAUAUUGGUCAAUGGGCGCAAGCCUGAACCAGCCAUGCCGCGUGAAGGAUGAAGGCCUUAUGGGUUGUAAACUUCUUUUAUACGGGAAUAAACUUAGCUAUGCAUAGCUAACUGCAGGUACCGUAAGAAUAAGCACCGGCUAACUCCGUGCCAGCAGCCGCGGUAAUACGGAGGGUGCAAGCGUUAUCCGGAUUUAUUGGGUUUAAAGGGUCCGCAGGCGGACUAAUAAGUCAGUGGUGAAAUCUCUCGGCUCAACCGAGAAACUGCCAUUGAUACUGUUAGUCUAGAGUGUAGUUGGCGUAGGCGGAAUGUAUCAUGUAGCGGUGAAAUGCUUAGAUAUGAUACAGAACACCGAUCGCGAAGGCAGCUUACGAAACUACAACUGACGCUCAGGGACGAAAGCGUGGGAAGCGAACAGGAUUAGAUACCCCCGUAGUC